Molecule: ribosomal RNA, 478 nt
Filed under: Escherichia coli
Lineage: Bacteria; Pseudomonadati; Pseudomonadota; Gammaproteobacteria; Enterobacterales; Enterobacteriaceae
Description: bacterial LSU rRNA
Rfam family: Bacterial large subunit ribosomal RNA
Source: RNAcentral
AUAGACCCGAAACCCGGUGAUCUAGCCAUGGGCAGGUUGAAGGUUGGGUAACACUAACUGGAGGACCGAACCGACUAAUGUUGAAAAAUUAGCGGAUGACUUGUGGCUGGGGGGGAAAGGCCAAUCAAACCGGGAGAUAGCUGGUUCUCCCCGAAAGCUAUUUAGGUAGCGCCUCGUGAAUUCAUCUCCGGGGGUAGAGCACUGUUUCGGCAAGGGGGUCAUCCCGACUUACCAACCCGAUGCAAACUGCGAAUACCGGAGAAUGUUAUCACGGGAGACACACGGCGGGUGCUAACGUCCGUCGUGAAGAGGGAAACAACCCAGACCGCCAGCUAAGGUCCCAAAGUCAUGGUUAAGUGGGAAACGAUGUGGGAAGGCCCAGACAGCCAGGAUGUUGGCUUAGAAGCAGCCAUCAUUUAAAGAAAGCGUAAUAGCUCACUGGUCGAGUCGGCCUGCGCGGAAGAUGUAACGGGGCUAA